This 405-nucleotide ribosomal RNA is filed under the name uncultured bacterium. RNAcentral's name for it is "partial 16S ribosomal RNA". It matches the Rfam family "Bacterial small subunit ribosomal RNA", at positions 30 to 526 of the family's 1533-position model. The record is from RNAcentral.
AUUGAACGCUGGCGGCAGGCCUAACACAUGCAAGUCGAGCGAGCGGCGGACGUGUGAGUAAUGUAUGGGGAUCUGCCCUAUAGUGGGGGAUAACUACUGGAAACGGUGUCUAAUACCGUAUACUCUCGUAUGCACCCAUAUGGGAUUCUCUAGUAGGUGGGGUAAAGGCUCCCCAACCGACGACCUCUAGCUGGGCUGAGAGGAUGACCAGCCACACUGGAACGGAGACACGGCCCAGACUCCGACGGGAGGCAGCAGGGGGGAAUAUUGCGCAAUGGGGGCAACCCUGACGCAGCCAUGCCGCGUGAAUGAAGAAGGCCUUCGGGUUGUAAAGUUCUUUCGGUAGCGAGGCGUUAACUACAGAAGAAGCACCGGCUAACUCCGUGCCAGCAGCCGCGGUAAUAC